GAUGAACGCUGGCGGCGUGCUUAACACAUGCAAGUCGAACGAAGCACUUUAUUUGAUUUCCUUCGGGACUGAUUAUUUUGUGACUGAGUGGCGGACGGGUGAGUAACGCGUGGGUAACCUGCCCUGUACAGGGGGAUAACAGUUGGAAACGGCUGCUAAUACCGCAUAAGCGCACAGCAUCGCAUGAUGCAGUGUGAAAAACUCCGGUGGUAUAAGAUGGACCCGCGUUGGAUUAGCUAGUUGGUGAGGUAGCGGCCCACCAAGGCGACGAUCCAUAGCCGACCUGAGAGGGUGACCGGCCACAUUGGGACUGAGACACGGCCCAAACUCCUACGGGAGGCAGCAGUGGGGAAUAUUGCACAAUGGGCGAAAGCCUGAUGCAGCGACGCCGCGUGAGCGAAGAAGUAUUUCGGUAUGUAAAGCUCUAUCAGCAGGGAAGAUAAUGACGGUACCUGACUAAGAAGCACCGGCUAAAUACGUG
RNAcentral lists this ribosomal RNA (481 nucleotides) under uncultured bacterium. RNAcentral's name for it is "partial 16S ribosomal RNA". It matches the Rfam family "Bacterial small subunit ribosomal RNA", at positions 28 to 507 of the family's 1533-position model. The record is from RNAcentral.